This is an RNA transcript of Sorghum bicolor (sorghum), 1864 nucleotides long. RefSeq lists it as uncharacterized. Lineage: Eukaryota; Viridiplantae; Streptophyta; Magnoliopsida; Poales; Poaceae. The transcript has 15 exons. The record is from RefSeq and is a predicted model, not a curated record.
UGUCGUCCGGUCUCCACUCUCCACUCUCUGCUGCAAGUCUGCAACCGCAGCAGCACGUCCAUUUCACGUGCCCCCUCCUCCCUCCCUUUCCCCUGUUCCCACGCUACCUCCGUUCGCUGCCGCUCGGCCGCGCCGGCGAUGGCGACGACGGAGGGGCUUGUGCCCAUUACGCGGACCUACCUCGCGCGCUACUACGACAACUACCCGCUGCCCCCACUGCCCGACGCCACCACGGACCUCGCCGCGCGGCUUCGCGCCCUCUCCGCCGACCUCGCCGCCGUUGCUCCCAUCACCCCUGAUGAGGAACUCUUAGAACAAGAAGCGGCUGGCAUACCUGCCCACAAAAUCGAUGAGAAUUUGUGGAAGAACCGAGAACAAAUGGAAGAAAUUCUGUUCUUGAUUAACACAUCCCGUCGUCCUGUGGCACUACAACAGAAGUCCACCCCAGAAGAUGCUCAGAUAGUUUGCACACUUGAUGAUAUAGAAGCUAAAUUGAAGGAUAUGUUGAAGAAGUUAGAACAAUUUCAAUUGGAAAAUGCUGACAGUGUUUUCAAUACAGUUAUGACAUACAUGCCCCAAGAUUUUCGAGGUACUUUAAUCAGGCAACAGCGAGAACGCUCAGAGAGAAAUAAGCAAGCAGAGGUAGAUGCUCUGGUUAGUGCUGGUGGAAGCAUUCAUGAUCGAUAUGCAUUGUUAUGGAAACAGCAAAUGGAAAGGAGGGUGCAAUUAGCACAGCUUGGUUCUGCAACAGGUGUAUACAAGACUCUUGUUAGGUAUUUGGUUGGUGUUCCACAGGUUUUAUUGGAUUUUAUUCGACAAAUAAAUGAUGAUAAUGGACCUAUGGAAGAACAAAGAGAACGUUAUGGUCCAGCCCUUUACACCCUUACAAAACUGGUGCUUGCAAUUCGGUUGUAUCUGCAUGUCUCUUUGGCACGAUAUGGACACAGGAAAAUAGAGAAGGAUGACAUUGAUGUGUUGCAGCAAGCUGUAGUUAUCUACACCAAGGAGUUUUUGAAGUUCACUGUAUUCAUUGGUGAGGUCUUUGUGAAUGCGCCAUUCUUUAUAUCUGCUGAGGAUGCAGGUGCCAUGGAUGCAAGAACUGAAAUAUAUUUUCGUCCUCCUCUUUUAGUACGAAAAGUGAUGAGUACAAAGAAAUUAUUAUUCCAGCUGGAAAGACACAUGAGGUCAUUUUGAGUGUUGAAGCUGUAAACUCAUACAUUGCAUGGGACUUCUCCUUGCAACAAGGGGCCCUCAACAUGGUAUUGGACAUUGGGUUUCAUGUGGAGCACAUUAGCCCUUCAGGGGAGAAAACUUUAAUUCUUCCACACCGACGGUAUGAAGCCGACCAAGGUAAUUUUUGCACUGUUUCAUCGGGAUCAUACAAACUUGUAUGGGACAACUCAUAUUCUUCAUUCUUCAAAAAGAUCCUACGUUACAAGGUGGAUGCUGUGCCACCAGUUGUUGAGCCGGCCUUGCCAGCCAUAGUGCUCUGAAGAGGUCUGUCUUAAUAUGAUGUAAUGUAACGAGGGCCGAUGCAUGCAUGCAGUAGCUGAACAAAAUGUAUCUGAAGGCCCCACACGGUGUUGUUCCCAAUUGAUUCAUCGAAUGCUUUGUGGUGUCCUGAUCGCAGGAUUCCCUGAUACAUACAGCUCGCUGUCGGGGCGCAAGAUAUGUAUUUCGUGUGCAUGUUUGGCUGUGGCCACUUGCCACUGACGAAUGCCUAAAUAUAACAUAAGUGUAUUAUAUCGACCAAUAAAAGCAUGUCUGAUUGGAAGGACGUGUUCCCUGGAAAGAGCAUCCAGUUUGGCUACCAAUUGUAGAAUUUCAUGAUGAAAUUAGCUGCAACUCCAAAUUUAGUGCUUCA